GACGAACGCUGGCGGCGUGCUUAACACAUGCAAGUCGAACGGAAAGGCCCUGCUUGCAGGGUACUCGAGUGGCGAACGGGUGAGUAACACGUGGGUGAUCUGCCCUGCACUUCGGGAUAAGCCUGGGAAACUGGGUCUAAUACCGGAUAGGAGCCAUUUUUAGUGUGAUGGUUGGAAAGUUUUUUCGGUGUAGGAUGAGCUCGCGGCCUAUCAGUUUGUUGGUGGGGUAAUGGCCUACCAAGGCGGCGACGGGUAGCCGGCCUGAGAGGGUGGACGGCCACAUUGGGACUGAGAUACGGCCCAGACUCCUACGGGAGGCAGCAGUGGGGAAUAUUGCACAAUGGGCGCAAGCCUGAUGCAGCGACGCCGCGUGGGGGAUGACGGCCUUCGGGUUGUAAACUCCUUUCGCUAGGGACGAAGCUUUUUGUGACGGUACCUAGAUAAGAAGCACCGGCUAACUACGUG
RNAcentral lists this ribosomal RNA (465 nucleotides) under uncultured bacterium. RNAcentral describes it as "partial 16S ribosomal RNA". It matches the Rfam family "Bacterial small subunit ribosomal RNA", at positions 28 to 507 of the family's 1533-position model. The record is from RNAcentral.